GACGAACGCUGGCGGCGUGCUUAACACAUGCAAGUCGAACGGAAAGGCCCUGCUUGCAGGGUGCUCGAGUGGCGAACGGGUGAGUAACACGUGGGUGAUCUGCCCCUUACUUUGGGAUAAGCCUGGGAAACUGGGUCUAAUACUGGAUAGGACCAUGCUGUAGGUGGUGUGGUGGAAAGAUUAGUUUCGGUAAGGGAUGAGCUCGCGGCCUAUCAGCUUGUUGGUGGGGUAAUGGCCUACCAAGGCGUCGACGGGUAGCCGGCCUGAGAGGGUGGACGGCCACAUUGGGCCUGAGAUACGGCCCAGACUCCUACGGUAGGCAGCAGUGGGGAAUAUUGCACAAUGGGCGCAAGCCUGAUGCAGCGACGCCGCGUGGGGGAUGACGGCCUUCGGGUUGUAACCUCCUUUCAGCCAUGACGAAGCCCUUGUGGUGACGGUAGUGGUAGAAGAGGCACCGGCUAACUACGUG
This 469-nucleotide ribosomal RNA is filed under the name uncultured bacterium. Its description in RNAcentral is "partial 16S ribosomal RNA". It matches the Rfam family "Bacterial small subunit ribosomal RNA", at positions 28 to 507 of the family's 1533-position model. The record is from RNAcentral.